AGAGUUUGAUCCUGGCUCAGAUUGAACGCUGGCGGCAUGGCUAAAACAUGCAAGUCGAACGAACCCGCAAGGGUGAGUGGCGAAAGGGUCAGUAACGCGAUCGAACGUACCCUGGGGUAGAGGAUAGGUCGGGGAAACCCGGCGUAAUACUCUAUGACCUCUCCGGAGCAAAGGUUUACCGCCCUGGGAGCGGCGAUCGUCCUAUCAGGUAGUUGGCGGGGUAACGGCCCACCAAGCCGAAGACGGGUAGCGGGUGUGAGAGCACGACCCGCGACAUCGGGACUGAGACACUGCCCGGACUCCUACGGGAGGCUGCAGUAACGAAUCUUCCGCAAUGGGCGAAAGCCUGACGGAGCAAUGCCGCGUGCGGGAUGAAGCGUCUACGACGUGUAAACCGCUGUCAGGGGGUAGGAACAAUGACCGCCCCCAAAGGAAGUGGCGACUAACUCUGUGCCAGCCGCCGCGGUAAUUC
RNAcentral lists this ribosomal RNA (472 nucleotides) under uncultured bacterium. RNAcentral's name for it is "bacterial SSU rRNA". It matches the Rfam family "Bacterial small subunit ribosomal RNA", at positions 8 to 526 of the family's 1533-position model. The record is from RNAcentral.